Molecule: long non-coding RNA, 3016 nt
Organism: Panicum virgatum (switchgrass)
Lineage: Eukaryota; Viridiplantae; Streptophyta; Magnoliopsida; Poales; Poaceae
Exons: 10
Source: RefSeq, a predicted model, not a curated record
GACAGCAGACUUGCAAAUCGACUCCCUCACCCGUUGAGGUGAUGUAUGAGGACGGCGCCCGCCGACUCGCCCGCGACGAAGACCCAGCCCGGGUCGGCGAGCUCGGACAGCAUGGGGCAGAGGAGGACCGCAGCCGCGUCGUCGAUGGCGGCCAGCGGGUGUGCUCCGGCCUCUGGUGCUUCCCACCGCCAUGACGCUGCCAUCUGUUCACGUCUCCUCGUCGGCGUCGCGUGGGGCCACAGUCCAGCGAGGACGCGGCCGCUGCCGGCCUCCCCGGCAGGCCGCCGGCGCCACCCCCGCUACACGGCCGCCUCCCACUCCGGCAUCCCAGGUCUGCCCUGUUCAAAUCCACGGAUUUUCCCAUUUGCAUCUCAUUCAUCCCAUGUCUGCACCGUUCAAAAUUCUUGUCGCCGCAUGGGAUCUAGGAAAAAAUUGCUUCUUUUGCAAUUGGCGUUUUGGUUAGUAGGAAUCAAGGAUGAUAAUACUACUGCUCCCUAUCCUGAACCAUUGUCUGACCAAUUGGAUAAAUCCAUUGUUGGGGGCGGUCUUCAGUUAUUCGAGUUUUCAGACCACAACAACCUCUCCAUGUUUUCCUUUGCAAUUUGACCAUGAUAAAAGUGCCGGACUUGAAGUGCCUGGCACAUUUCCACCAUCACAUUUCGAUUCUGCAUCAGUCAAGGACACAGUUCGAAUGCUUGCAUGGUAGAGCUGAUGAGUUCAGGCAAUAUGGCUACAAUGCAGUCCCAAUGCAAUCUGAUUCUGUCAACAGUAACACUUCCAGAGAAACUUACGAAUAUGGAGGCGGAAUAGCCCAUGUUUUUUCUCAGAGGCUGAUGCUACCAGGUUCAGGGGAAUGCGAUUGGAUGAUUUGGACGAACAAUAUGUUAAUGUCAACCUAGAUGAUGAUGACUUCUCUCGUGCUGAGCAUCCUCACCAAGCUGACGCCUUGAAUAUCACCCUGGUUGAUAAUUUUGAGUCUGGGCUUGAAGAAACUGAUGUGUUCAAUCAUUUGGAGAGUACAAAAUGCCCCUGGUUGCUCUGAUAUCUUACUCGGGAAAGUCACCCUCAGAAUUAUAUUAUCCUAAGCCACUUAUGCAGCUGUGGAAGGAAUGCACUGAAGUCAACUCUGCAAAUGCCUCAUCUUCAGGCCAGCCAUCUUCAUCACAAGAACAUCCGAGUAACUCGCCACCUCAUGAAUUUCCACCUCAGCAUGAAGGAGAAUAUGAGAUGGAAACAGGAGCUCACCCAAUGGACUUUACUGAUGGCCUCGAAAAACUCAGAGGAAACAUGAGUGCAGAGUUUGACAGAGCUUAUGAUACUCUGCUUAGUGACCAUAGUGUUACUCAUGGAACUCCUGGUAAGUGAAUUAAAACACUCGUCGCACUGGCACAAUUUGUAAUGUUAUGCUAGCUUUGUUGGCUUACAGACCAUUCGUAGUUUCUUUAAUUAGUUUGGCUUUACACUUUGGACGCUAUGCAAUGUGCUUUCCUUGGGGUUACAUCAUGGUUACUCAGCUGAUAUUGCUAGAAAAUGUAGCAUCCUUAAUUUGAAUCUAUACAUUAUUCCGCAGCUUUCUCAGAAUGGUGGCAAAUAAUAGUUCUGAUAAGUUUCACUGUCUGACGCUCCCGGCCAGAUAACUUGGGUUUACUGAGUUUGCUUGAAAUGUUUUACGCUAGAGGAAUGUCUAAUGGGAAGUUUAUCGGACCACUCAUUGAGUUUUAGUGUAUUGCUAGAAUGGAGCAUAUUAUUUACUGAGGAACGCGUGUUCUACAGUUUUGGCAACUUUUUAUUACAUAAAGGUUACACAGCUGGAACCAUACGGGGACAUCUCGAUCUCCAGGGGGGCAAAGAUGUGAAUGUGAAUAUCGGGAACAGUAUUGCUGCUGAGGUUCUUGCAGUGCACACAUCCGUGUUGAUAUUAUAAUUUAUACAGCGAUUACAUUUUGCACAGGAGGUCUGUUAGGUCAUAUUAUUGUUGCUGCCUAGGUAUGUGAGGCUUUGAUACAGAUUGAGAUUUUUAAGUAUGCUUCUUUGUCCCUUUUUCAUUUGCCUCAUUGCUGAUUGCAUUUAUGUGAAGCUUAAUUGACAUUUCAUAGCUUAAUUGUAGUUAUGAUUAUCCAUAUAGCAGGAGAAAAACUCUAUUUACAUUUCUCAAUUUUGGAUCACAUUAUCCUUGAAGGUGAACUCUGUUGUAAAUGCAAUACAGUGAAAAACUAAAUUAAAGAAUUUGUGAUUGAUCAUUUGUGCAUAGGAGCCUGUAAAUGGUUGUCCUGCAAAAGCUUCGUUAAACUAAAAGAUUCCUCCCGGUUCCAAUGAUGACUGCUGGUGAGCCCUUUUUCUUUUCUCCUUAACACAGUAAAUUCGUAUGUCUACUCCUAAAAGUCUGUAAGGGUGAGUCUUAUAUCAGUCUGCUCGCCUCCCUAGCGAUAGUCAUUCCAGUCACCGAUUUAUAUAUACUUCUAGAUGCAUUUUUUUUUCAUUUGCAAAGCAAAUAAGUGUACAUAUGCUCACUCUCCUUUCCAUCCAAUGCAGGUACAUUUCUGCUCUCUAUUUUUUUUAUAUUUCUCAAGGUAUGCUUCCAGUUUAGCUCACCAAAUACUACCUGUCGAGACCCCCCAGCGAAAGGCAUCGAUGGCUUAGUGAGCGGCGCUGCUCCUCCCCAGGUCUUAGUCGGGCCCUUCGCCGGUGACAAGCAUUCACCAGUUACAUGCAUAUGCCACAACUUCGGUGUUUUAAAAAGGCAGUGACAGUGAUAAUGAAAAGGUUGGAUCUGGCUUUCGUGCAGGAAAAGGCAGCAGACUUCGCACCAAGUAGUGGUUUCAUAAAGUGCAGAUUUUCGUGUGCAUUGAUAUUUGAAUCUUGCAUUCAUCAAUAUCGAAAUUUGUAGUGUUUUAUUCUUAUGUCGUUCUGGUACAUGCCCCAAAUGUCAACAAAAUAUAUUUAUAAUUUCCAUGUGUUUUGCUGCAUGUACAUCUUUUUUUCUUUUGAGUAUUUGUCUAAAUCAAAAGUUAGAAUA